GGAGGGUGUAGCUCAGUGGUAGAGUGUGUGCUUCACAUGCAUGAGGUCCUGGGUUCAAUCCCCAGUACCUCCA
RNAcentral lists this transfer RNA (73 nucleotides) under Vicugna pacos (alpaca). RNAcentral's name for it is "tRNA-Val (CAC) (tRNA-Val-CAC-9-1)". It matches the Rfam family "tRNA". Rfam says of the family: Transfer RNA (tRNA) molecules are approximately 80 nucleotides in length. The record is from RNAcentral. Lineage: Eukaryota; Metazoa; Chordata; Mammalia; Artiodactyla; Camelidae.